RNAcentral lists this ribosomal RNA (466 nucleotides) under uncultured bacterium. RNAcentral describes it as "bacterial SSU rRNA". It matches the Rfam family "Bacterial small subunit ribosomal RNA", at positions 338 to 795 of the family's 1533-position model. The record is from RNAcentral.
CCUACGGGUGGCACCAGUGGGGAAUAUUGCACAAUGGGCGCAAGCCUGAUGCAGCCAUGCCGCGUGUAUGAAGUAGGCCUUCGGGUUGUAAAGUACUUUCAGCGGGGAGGAAGGCGAUAAGGUUAAUAACCUUGUCGAUUGACGUUACCCGCAGAAGAAGCACCGGCUAACUCCGUGCCAGCAGCCGCGGUAAUACGGAGGGUGCAAGCGUUAAUCGGAAUUACUGGGCGUAAAGCGCACGCAGGCGGUCUGUCAAGUCGGAUGUGAAAUCCCCGGGCUCAACCUGGGAACUGCAUUCGAAACUGGCAGGCUAGAGUCUUGUAGAGGGGGGGUAGAAUUCCAUGUGUAGCGGUGAAAUGCGUAGAGAUGUGGAGGAAUACCGGUGGCGAAGGCGGCCCCCUGGACAAAGACUGACGCUCAGGUGCGAAAGCGUGGGGAGCAAACAGGAUUAGAUACCCCAGUAGUC